Larimichthys crocea (large yellow croaker) is the source of this 1613-nucleotide long non-coding RNA. RefSeq lists it as uncharacterized. The record is from RefSeq and is a predicted model, not a curated record. NCBI's taxonomy places the organism in Eukaryota, Metazoa, Chordata, Actinopteri, Sciaenidae. The transcript has 3 exons.
UGCGCCCUGGGCGGCCGCCCACAUUGCCCAUAGCUAGGACCGGCCCUGAUUGUAUCCAAGGUUCUCAAUCUGGCUCGAGGGAAAUCUCCACUGUCUAAACUCUACCUGGAAGCAAGACAAGAGUCUCACGGAGGAUCUACAAGAUAUUGACUUCAGAGCAGCCCUCAUCUUUCUGCCAUACAUCUUCAAGGAGAACAUUGAUUGCUUUAUUACUCUUGGAGAGAGUGAUCCUGCCACUCCAUACCAACUAUCCAGUUGAUGGAUCGAGACUGGAAAAUGGCCUUUACCAGGAGAGCUCCGAAUGCUGUGAAAGUGGAUGGCAUCGAGUUGUGUCACAGCUCAGCAAUUGACGAAGGAAUCAUCUCUGCUUUCUGUGCUUACUUUGUGUUCAAUUUAACAUUUCCACGACACCUGAAGAACACACUGAUGUUUCUCCAAAGGCACAUCACCAAAAUAGUUGUGGAUGGUGAGAAGCCUCUGCCAAUAACUGUCACCAGGCAAGUAAACCUCCUCUAUUGACUCAACCAUGCCUCAUCUAUACCAAUGCUCCAAAUGCUCAAGGAGAACAUUCACCUUUAUGAAACUAAUUCAGCACAUAGGACUUAUUCCUGCCCAUGAAGCUAAAUUCUCUAUUACAUGCAGACUUAAUGACUGCAAGUCAACAUUUACAAAAUAUGAGUCUUUUAGACGACAUGUGUAUAGGAGACACAGAGACAGAGUUUUAUGUCAAUGCAAUGACUGUGAUGGAGAUGAAGAUGUGGUGGCCUCUGAGGAUUCUGAUGAGCCUGGGAUGGAUUCUGUCACUGAAAAUCCUCCCUCUAUGGAUGAACUGUUACUCCAUUUCAGAGAAUCACAACAUUUGUAAUGUAGAUUUUACAGACAAAGCUAUCCAACGUGUUUCUGAAGUUAGAGUCAACAAUGUCAAGUAUGCUGUCAAAGAUGUAUUUGUCAUAGAUGUAUUGCAUUCAGAGAGAAUUCCACUGUUUUGGCGACUCAAGUACAUUUUGAACAUCGAUACCUUGUGGAUCCUUUGUGGUAAAAUGUUGGUUCUUCUGUCAUAUGACUGUCACUUUCAUGCAUACAGUGUAAAGGUUGAUGGAGAAUGGACUUUACUAAAACCAGGCGAUGAAAUGGACUUCCAAGUACUUGACACUUAUUCUGUGGAUAACAGUUUGUAUGUCACACUUCGACAUAGUAUUUAAAGAUGUACAAAAUUAACAUGCGAAAAUGUUAGAUCUUCUGUCAGUGAGUGUCAAGUGUUAUUUUCAUGUAUGCAGUUUUAAGGUUGGUGGAGAAUGGACUUGCCUGCAAUGGACAAUUUUACAUUGUUUAAAGUUAAAUGGAAUUGAAAUAUGAAAAUAAAAAAUACAUUCUGAUAAAUUUAAAAAUCAUUUGUGUUUUGUAUAAUGUAGAUACACAAAAAAAUCAGAAAUAAAUAAUGGUACUAUAAUGUACCCUAUAAAGGCCAAUUUUGUACCCUUUUUAAAGGUCCAUUUUUGUACUUCAAAAUAAGGGUACAAAAUUGCCACCAGAGGUACAAGAUUGGUCUUUGUAAGGUACAAACCACAAGGGUACAAAUAAGUACUCAGUGUCAAGGGUACAAAACUGUGCCU